RNAcentral lists this small RNA (551 nucleotides) under Drosophila virilis. Its description in RNAcentral is "GJ26238". The record is from RNAcentral. Lineage: Eukaryota; Metazoa; Arthropoda; Insecta; Diptera; Drosophilidae.
CCAAUAAAUAACAGGAACUAAAACUACAAAAAAACUAUAAAACGAAACAAAAAAAAAAAUAAAAAAUAUUCUCCAAUUUGAUUUGGAGAUACUGUUGAUAUUGAUAUCGGCAUGGAUAUACCUGGCUUUACCUAAACAUAACUGGAUAUAACUCGGACUUGACAAAGAGAUGUAUAUAUAUAUAUAUAACGAAAUAUAUAUAAUCAAUUAUAGACCUGGAUUCUAAUUAGGAUGACUGCGAGUUGGUUGCUUAUCUUCAGUGAUCCAUGAUCCAUGAUCUUAUUUAUACAGUGAUCCAUGCGAGCUUGUUCUUGCCUACGAACGCCUGGGGGGUCUUCUCUCAUAUCUUAAAUCCUGGGCUUCACGAUAUGGUACACUGUCAUCUGAUUCACUUGUUCACGCUCAGUGGCUUCUUUCGAAAAUUGCACUGGAAUAGUUUCGUACGACUAUCUGGGAGAAAUUUGUUGUUUAUCUGUUCGGAUGGUGGAGUUGUUGUAAAUUCUGGUUUAUCAAUACAGUAAUUCUCUUUGGCAAUAAAUAUACAAAACAAA